UACGAAGGGGGCUAGCGUUGUUCGGAUUUACUGGGCGUAAAGCGCGCGCAGGCGGCUUGGCAAGUCGAGGGUGAAAUCCCAGAGCUCAACUCUGGAAUUGCCUUCGAGACUGCUAGGCUUCGAGUACGGGAGAGGUGAGUGGAAUUCCCAGUGUAGAGGUGAAAUUCGUAGAUAUUGGGAAGAACACCGGUGGCGAAGGCGGCUCACUGGCCCGUUACUGACGCUCAGGCGCGACAGCGUGGGGAUCAAACAGG
Molecule: ribosomal RNA, 254 nt
Filed under: uncultured bacterium
Lineage: Bacteria
Description: partial 16S ribosomal RNA
Rfam family: Bacterial small subunit ribosomal RNA
Source: RNAcentral